UACGUAGGGGGCAAGCGUUAUCCGGAAUUAUUGGGCGUAAAGAGUGCGUAGGUGGUUAUCUAAGCGUAAGGUUUAAGCGUGCAGCUCAACUGCAUCUCGCCUUGCGAACUGGACUACUUGAGUGCAGGAGGGGAAAGCGGAAUUCCUAGUGUAGCGGUGAAAUGCGUAGAUAUUAGGAGGAACGCCAGCGGCGAAGGCGGCUUUCUGGACUGUAACUGACACUGAGGCACGAAAGCGUGGGGAGCAAACAGG
RNAcentral lists this ribosomal RNA (252 nucleotides) under uncultured Anaerovoracaceae bacterium. RNAcentral's name for it is "uncultured Clostridiales Family XIII bacterium partial 16S ribosomal RNA". It matches the Rfam family "Bacterial small subunit ribosomal RNA", at positions 524 to 776 of the family's 1533-position model. Lineage: Bacteria; Bacillati; Bacillota; Clostridia; Peptostreptococcales; Anaerovoracaceae. The record is from RNAcentral.